CCCUGGUUAGCGCAGUUGGUAGAGCGCUCCACUGAAAAUGGAGAAAUCACGGGUUCAAUACCCGGACCAGGCG
RNAcentral lists this transfer RNA (73 nucleotides) under Ixodes scapularis (black-legged tick). It matches the Rfam family "tRNA". From Rfam's summary of the family: Transfer RNA (tRNA) molecules are approximately 80 nucleotides in length. Their secondary structure includes four short double-helical elements and three loops (D, anti-codon, and T loops). Further hydrogen bonds mediate the characteristic L-shaped molecular structure. tRNAs have two regions of fundamental functional importance: the anti-codon, which is responsible for specific mRNA codon recognition, and the 3' end, to which the tRNAs corresponding amino acid is attached (by aminoacyl-tRNA synthetases). tRNAs cope with the degeneracy of the genetic code in two manners: having more than one tRNA (with a specific anti-codon) for a particular amino acid; and 'wobble' base-pairing, i.e. permitting non-standard base-pairing at the 3rd anti-codon position. Lineage: Eukaryota; Metazoa; Arthropoda; Arachnida; Ixodida; Ixodidae. The record is from Rfam by way of RNAcentral.